Long non-coding RNA from Vespa crabro (European hornet), 718 nucleotides. RefSeq lists it as uncharacterized. The record is from RefSeq and is a predicted model, not a curated record. Lineage: Eukaryota; Metazoa; Arthropoda; Insecta; Hymenoptera; Vespidae. The transcript has 4 exons.
UUGCUCUGAAUAAACGAAUACGUUUCGUUGUAGUAAUUCUUUAAAUUAUUAACGAGAACGUUUUUCCUUGUUAAAAUUGUAUUAAAUGCGGACGUAGAAAAGUGAUUUCGAGGUAAUACCAUAAGAAUAAUACCAACUGAUAUUAUUGACGAAGAAAGAGAGAGACAUCUUCGAUUACUAUGGGACUAGGUGAGACUCCGUUAGACGUUUGAAAUAUGGUCAAUCGGGGAAAAAGAGAUAUAAAGAAGAAGAAAAAAGAGAAGAGAGAGAGAGAGAGAGAGAGAGAGAGAGAGAGAAAGAAUCAGAUGGAGGACCAGGUAACAAAACGUUCUCGAUUUAGCGUGUUAAUCUAAUAAAAGGAAACGACAGGAUGAUUAUUUGUAAGACGAUUAACAAUGCAGAGAUAGAUAGAGAGAGAGAGAGAGAGAAGGAGAGAAAGAGAAAAAGAGAAAGCAAAAAGAGAAAGGUAUUCAAGGGAAAUAAACUUUGUGUUUAGUCGAGCUGUCCGCCAUGAAAGAGAAACGUUUGUAAUUUGAGAGAUGCUAGGAAAACCCUCAGGAGUUAACAAUAAUCCGUUGAACUUGGCUGACAUAACACGUCCGACGUUACACAUAUAUAUAUAUAUUGUCUUCGGUUAUGUUUUAACAUUCCCAUAAAAUUAUAUGCAGGUAUGUAACUUACAUAUACGUAUUAAACAUGAAGAUAAGAUAUCUCGAAU